AAUUGGACCGAGUGCAAUGGUGUUUACAAGUAAUUGAUCACAACCAGUUACAGAUUCCUUCAUUCUUUCUCCACUCCCACUGCUUCACUUGACCAUAAA
Molecule: Y RNA, 99 nt
Filed under: Propithecus coquereli (Coquerel's sifaka)
Lineage: Eukaryota; Metazoa; Chordata; Mammalia; Primates; Indriidae
Description: Y RNA (ENSPCOG00000002489.1)
Rfam family: Y RNA
About the family: Y RNAs are components of the Ro ribonucleoprotein particle (Ro RNP), in association with Ro60 and La proteins.
Source: Rfam by way of RNAcentral